UUGCACCCGCUUGACCGGCGCACGGGUGCGUAACGCGUAUGCAAUCUACCUUUUACAGAGGGAUAGCCCAGAGAA
This 75-nucleotide ribosomal RNA is filed under the name Flavobacterium sp. KMS. RNAcentral describes it as "partial 16S ribosomal RNA". The record is from RNAcentral. Lineage: Bacteria; Pseudomonadati; Bacteroidota; Flavobacteriia; Flavobacteriales; Flavobacteriaceae.